This 247-nucleotide ribosomal RNA is filed under the name Fusarium sp. RNAcentral's name for it is "partial large subunit ribosomal RNA". It matches the Rfam family "Eukaryotic large subunit ribosomal RNA", at positions 398 to 664 of the family's 3401-position model. Lineage: Eukaryota; Fungi; Ascomycota; Sordariomycetes; Hypocreales; Nectriaceae. The record is from RNAcentral.
CGUGAAAUUGUUGAAAGGGAAGCGUUUAUGACCAGACUUGGGCUUGGUUAAUCAUCUGGGGUUCUCCCCAGUGCACUUUUCCAGUCCAGGCCAGCAUCAGUUUUCCCCGGGGGAUAAAGGCGGCGGGAAUGUGGCUCUCUUCGGGGAAUGUUAUAGCCCACCGUGUAAUACCCUGGGGGGGACUGAGGUACGCGCAUCUGCAAGGAUGGUGGCGUAAUGGUCAUCAACGACCCGUCUUGAAACACGG